GGUGCAGUUACCGUAUGAUUCGGUUCUUCUAUUGUGAGUCUCGAUAGAAUUGAGGUAAGAUAAACUCAUCAAACCUCAUGAUAUCUGUCAUAUGAUAGAAUUAAUCAAUUCGAGUCUGAUGUAAAAUUUAAUAGAAUUUUUUUUUCUAUCUUUCACAUUGCCAUGGCCAUAGGCUUUUAAACUUAAUCUCAUUAUCUACAUAAAACUACUCCUCCUCUAUCGAGAUCGAUAGAUUCCAUCUUGGUACAAUCCAAUUUCUAAUAAAUAUACUGCAACCAACAUAUACUUUAAGACUCCAUAUGGCUAAG
This 308-nucleotide long non-coding RNA is filed under the name Elaeis guineensis (African oil palm). RNAcentral's name for it is "long non-coding RNA (EGUI_LNC015342)". Lineage: Eukaryota; Viridiplantae; Streptophyta; Magnoliopsida; Arecales; Arecaceae. The record is from RNAcentral.